This 644-nucleotide ribosomal RNA is filed under the name uncultured bacterium. RNAcentral describes it as "bacterial SSU rRNA". It matches the Rfam family "Bacterial small subunit ribosomal RNA", at positions 261 to 895 of the family's 1533-position model. The record is from RNAcentral.
UGGCCUACCAAGGCAACGAUGGGUAGCCGGCCUGAGAGGGUGUCCGGCCACACUGGGAUUGAGAUACGGCCCAGACUCCUUCGGGAGGCAGCAGUCGAGAAUCUUCCACAAUGUACGAAAGUAUGAUGGAGCGACGCCGCGUGUGUGAUGAAGGCUUUAUGAGUUGUAAAACACUGUCAGAGGGGAAGAACAAGCGUAUAAAUAAUAAGUAUACGCUCUGACGUACCCUCAGAGGAAGCUCCGGCUAACUCCGUGCCAGCAGCCGCGGUAAUACGGAGGGAGCAAGCGUUGUCCGGAAUCAUUGGGCGUAAAGGGCACGUAGGCGGUUCGGUAAGUCGAAUGUGAAAUCUCAUGGCUUAACUGUGAAACUGCGUUCGAAACUACCGAACUUGAGUACUGGAGAGGUAUGCGGAAUUCCUGGUGUAGCGGUGGAAUGCGUGGAUAUCAGGAAGAACACCAGUGGCAAAGGCGGCAUACUGGCCAAGUACUGACGCUGAGGUGCGAAAGCGUGGGGAGCAAACGGGAUUAGAUACCCCGGUAGUCCACGCUGUAAACGAUGGGUACUAGGUUUUGGGGGUCUCAACCCCCUCAGAGCCGCAGCUAACGCAUUAAGUACCCCGCCUGGGGAGUACGGUCGCAAGGCU